RNAcentral lists this ribosomal RNA (253 nucleotides) under uncultured bacterium. RNAcentral's name for it is "partial 16S ribosomal RNA". It matches the Rfam family "Bacterial small subunit ribosomal RNA", at positions 524 to 776 of the family's 1533-position model. The record is from RNAcentral.
UACGUAGGGGGCAAGCGUUGUCCGGAUUCAUUGGGCGUAAAGAGCGUGUAGGCGGCCAGGUAGGUCGGUUGUGAAAACUGGAGGCUCAACCUUCAGACGUCGACCGAAACCAUCUGGCUAGAGUCCGGGAGAGGAUAGUGGAAUUCCUGGUGUAGCGGUGAAAUGCGCAGAUAUCAGGAAGAACACCCGUGGCGAAAGCGGCUCUCUGGAACGGUACUGACGCUGAGACGCGAAAGCGUGGGGAGCGAACAGG